Molecule: long non-coding RNA, 888 nt
Organism: Diorhabda carinulata
Lineage: Eukaryota; Metazoa; Arthropoda; Insecta; Coleoptera; Chrysomelidae
Exons: 2
Source: RefSeq, a predicted model, not a curated record
AUUCGCAUCCAUACGUUAAAAAGCGUUCCACUGUGACUUGGUAUAUUGUCAUUUAUGUGUUUAGGAUUCGAUAGCCCCAAAUGUUCAGUAAAAAAAUUGAAACCAGGUAUUAUUAAUUUAGAAUGUAAAGGAAAUCAAAGUCAAAUAAUCAAAAACAAAUUGAUUGAUAAUUAACAAUAAUAAUAAAAACAAUGGAAUGUUCAAUGAUGGUUACCAAUAGUUAACGUUACUACUACUAUAAAAGAUUGGAAACUUUCAAUUAAUAAUGGAAACAGAUGUCGAUAUUAUGUGACCAAAAGAAGGCAAACUAUGGUAGCAAAUAGUGGCAACCAAUACGUCUCCAAAAGGUUAAAUAAAUUUCAUUUAUAGGAUAUGGAGGAUAGAGGUUAUAUUCGGUACAUUAUUGGUAUUAAGUUCUCUAACUUGGUAAAUUUCAAGUUAUCUACAAUUGCUACAUUCAUUCCAUACCCUUUACCUACACAAGUGAAUGGUAAGAAGGAAUAUAAAAAAAUGAGGACGUUGAUAACAAUAAAAAAUGUUUUGAGGAAGAUGUGAUAAACAGUGAUAAAUCAAGCCCAUAUUAACUAUUUAUUGAACACUUAAUUAAAUAGUGAAACAAACUGUGAGAUUAUUAGUAACGUGAAACUAUUGGAGAAAGAAUACUGAAGGUAAAAUGAAAUCAGGGCAGAUAUGGAAAAACAAAAAGCUUUAGUAGGUUUAACAACUAUGAAAAUGUCACUAACAGGAGAAAAUUAAUUAUAAGUUUAACAAUUAAUUAAUUAAUUAUUGUAAUUGGAAUAAAGAUUCAUUGAAAAAUGUUAAUAUUAUGAUGUACAAGAUGGUGUAAAUUGAAAUAUUGUUCAUAUUAAUAGAUAAAAUAUAUAAGCA